RNAcentral lists this ribosomal RNA (497 nucleotides) under uncultured bacterium. Its description in RNAcentral is "partial 16S ribosomal RNA". It matches the Rfam family "Bacterial small subunit ribosomal RNA", at positions 28 to 507 of the family's 1533-position model. The record is from RNAcentral.
GAUGAACGCUGGCGGCGUGCCUAAUACAUGCAAGUCGAGCGAACAGACGAGGAGCUUGCUCCUCUGACGUUAGCGGCGGACGGGUGAGUAACACGUGGAUAACCUACCUAUAAGACUGGGAUAACUUCGGGAAACCGUAGCUAAUACCGGAUAAUAUAUUUAACCGCAUGGUUCAAUAGUGAAAGACGGUUUUGCUGUCACUUAUAGAUGGAUCCGCGCCGCAUUAGCUAGUUGGUAAGGUAACGGCUUACCAAGGCAACGAUGCGUAGCCGACCUGAGAGGGUGAUCGGACAAACUGGAACUGAGAAACGGUCCAGACUCCUACGGGAGGCAGCAGUAGGGAAUCUUCCGCAAAGGGCGAAAGCCUGACGGAGCAACGCCGCGUGAGUGAUGAAGGUCUUCGGAUCGUAAAACUCUGUUAUUAGGGAAGAACAAAUGUGUAAGUAACUAUGCACGUCUUGACGGUACCUAAUCAGAAAGCCACGGCUAACUACGUG